CCUACGGGAGGCAGCAGUGAGGAAUAUUGGUCAAUGGACGAGAGUCUGAACCAGCCAAGUAGCGUGAAGGAUGACUGCCCUAUGGGUUGUAAACUUCUUUUAUAUGGGACUAAAACAGGGUAUGCAUACCCUCUUGUAUGUACGUUAUGACUAAGAAUCGGCUAACUCCGUGCCGGCAGCGGCGGUAAUACGGAGGAUCCGAGCGUUCUCCGGAUUUAUUGGGUUUAAAGGGACCGUAGGUGGAUUGUUAAGUCAGUUGUGAAAGUGUGCGGCUCAACCGUAAAAUUGCAGUUGAUACUGGCAGUCUUGAGUACAGUAGAGGUGGGCGGAAGUCGAGGUGUAGCGGUGAAAUGCUUAGAGAUCACGAAGAACUCCGAUUGCGAAGGCAGCUCACUGGACUGCAACUGACACUGAUGCUCGAAAGUGUGGGUAUCAAACAGGAUUAGAUACCCCAGUAGUC
This 460-nucleotide ribosomal RNA is filed under the name uncultured bacterium. RNAcentral describes it as "partial 16S ribosomal RNA". It matches the Rfam family "Bacterial small subunit ribosomal RNA", at positions 338 to 795 of the family's 1533-position model. The record is from RNAcentral.